UACGUAGGGUGCGAGCGUUGUCCGGAAUUACUGGGCGUAAAGAGCUCGUAGGUGGUUUGUCGCGUUGUCCGUGAAAACUCACAACUCAAUUGUGGGCGUGCGGGCGAUACGGGCAGACUUGAGUACUGCAGGGGAGACUGGAAUUCCUGGUGUAGCGGUGGAAUGCGCAGAUAUCAGGAGGAACACCGGUGGCGAAGGCGGGUCUCUGGGCAGUAACUGACGCUGAGGAGCGAAAGCGUGGGGAGCGAACAGG
This 253-nucleotide ribosomal RNA is filed under the name uncultured bacterium. RNAcentral describes it as "partial 16S ribosomal RNA". It matches the Rfam family "Bacterial small subunit ribosomal RNA", at positions 524 to 776 of the family's 1533-position model. The record is from RNAcentral.